GACGAACGCUGGCGGCGUGCUUAACACAUGCAAGUCGAACGGAAAGGCCCUGCUUGCAGGGUACUCGAGUGGCGAACGGGUGAGUAACACGUGGGUGAUCUGCCCUGCACUUCGGGAUAAGCCUGGUAAACUGGGUCUAAUACCGGAUAGGAGCCAUUUUUAGUGUGAUGGUUGGAAAGUUUUUUCGGUGUAGGAUGAGCUCGCGGCCUAUCAGCUUGUUGGUGGGGUAAUGGCCUACCAAGGCGGCGACGGGUAGCCGGCCUGAGAGGGUGGACGGCCACAUUGGGACUGAGAUACGGCCCAGACUCCUACGGGAGGCAGCAGUGGGGAAUAUUGCACAAUGGGCGCAAGCCGGAUGCAGCGACGCCGCGUGGGGGAUGACGGCCUUCGGGUUGUAAACUCCUUUCGCUAGGGACGAAGCUUUUUGUGACGGUACCUAGAUAAGAAGCACCGGCUAACUACGUG
RNAcentral lists this ribosomal RNA (465 nucleotides) under uncultured bacterium. RNAcentral describes it as "partial 16S ribosomal RNA". It matches the Rfam family "Bacterial small subunit ribosomal RNA", at positions 28 to 507 of the family's 1533-position model. The record is from RNAcentral.